UUCUAGAUAUAUAUAUCUUGUUGAAGAUAUAUUUGACAUUGUAUACACAUAUUUAUUUCGUAUGGUUAAAUAGAACCAUAAUCUACUCUAGAUCUAGACUCUAGACAGUCUUUGAAUUUACUCUAGACACUUCAGUCACAUCAAAUUUUAAAAUUGAUCAUAGUUAUUCAUACUAGAUCUAAUAGUCAUAGUGCUCUUGAUAACUAGAUCUAAAUGAUUACUGCCAGUGAAGAACAUUUGUGAUAUAUGACGUGCCCAUAAGAUGCCACAUUUUCCUCCAUGAUGAACUGUGUACUAAUGAAGAUGAUUCUGGAAUGUUAUGAACAUUGACAUUGAAUAUGAGGAACUGUCAAGUCAAGAUGAAGAUGUCAAGAUUUUAUGUUUGUUGUCUUCCCCUUAAAUUGAAAAUGCCUUUGUAAGACUUGACAGUAGUGGAAAAAUAUUGACAUAUUUUUUUUUUCAAGGGGGGGAGGAAUCUGUUAGACACCUUAUUUAUAUAGGUUAGUUAUUUAGCGACGCACCAUAGGAGACGCAUAUUGAACGGGACUAGUGACGUUUGGGAUAUGUUGGGUUAGAGACCGGAAAAUCAGUUAGCAAUAGAAUACUCCAGGGUAACGACGUGUUUAGUGACAGAGACUUCUACUGUGGCCUUUUAUCAGAAUAAAUCUAUGUGAACUUUUU
Molecule: long non-coding RNA, 681 nt
Organism: Biomphalaria glabrata
Lineage: Eukaryota; Metazoa; Mollusca; Gastropoda; Planorbidae
Exons: 2
Source: RefSeq, a predicted model, not a curated record